Hyla sarda is the source of this 647-nucleotide long non-coding RNA. RefSeq lists it as uncharacterized. NCBI's taxonomy places the organism in Eukaryota, Metazoa, Chordata, Amphibia, Anura, Hylidae. The transcript has 3 exons. The record is from RefSeq and is a predicted model, not a curated record.
AGCAACUUCUCCUCUGGACAGGUUUUGAUAAAUCUCCCCCUAUAUGAUAUAACUGGGUCGGAUGUUACCUUGUCAGCCAAAACUCCUCUGUAUCUGCUGCUUCCUUGUCUUCUCUGUCCUCAGAAGAACUAUGGAAGGUGCUGCCGAUCUACCUGUAAGAACAAGAUGAUGUUCCAGAUGAGGCCGAGGACCAGCGAGGGGUUUCCAUCUGUGAUCUCCGCAGCGUCAAUGCUGACCAGCUUCACCUACAGGAAAUACACAGUCUAUUAGGUCACUGCAAGUCACAGACGAAAAACAUUCAUGGAAAAUUCUGAGAGCAGAUGAUGUCACUGAACCGACGUAUCCUGAGCCCCCGGGAUCACAAUGAACCUUUAUAAGAAUCAAAAACACAAACCAUAAAGCCCAGAGCCGCCUCAAUAUGUCUCUGUAAUCUGGAAUGUGUCCACAUCCCCGGCUUAAAAACUUUAUUCUGAAUCAAGGAGGCGGCUAAACCCCAUAAAUCCGAUUAGUGACUGAAAAGUCAGAGGCGAUCACAGAGCGAACUCAGCGCACAAAGUCAAUGGAUCUACUAUAUACUGCGGAAUCACUGUGUACAUACAUUACUUAUCCUGUACUGAUCCUGAGUUAUAUCCUGUAUUAUACUCCAG